GAUGAACGCUGGCGGCGUGCCUAAUACAUGCAAGUAGAACGCUGAAGGAGGAGCUUGCUCUUCUGGAUGAGUUGCGAACGGGUGAGUAACGCGUAGGUAACCUGCCUGGUAGCGGGGGAUAACUAUUGGAAACGAUAGCUAAUACCGCAUGACAACAGUUAUUGCAUGAUAACUGUUUAAAAGGGGCAACUGCUCCACUACCAGAUGGACCUGCGUUGUAUUAGCUAGUUGGUGAGGUAACGGCUCACCAAGGCGACGAUACAUAGCCGACCUGAGAGGGUGAUCGGCCACACUGGGACUGAGACACGGCCCAGACCCCUACGGGAGGCAGCAGUAGGGAAUCUUCGGCAAUGGACGGAAGUCUGACCGAGCAACGCCGCGUGAGUGAAGAAGGUUUUCGGAUCGUAAAGCUCUGUUGUAAGAGAAGAACGAGUGUGAGAGUGGAAAGUUCACACUGUGACGGUAUCUUACCAGAAAGGGACGGCUAACUACGU
This 494-nucleotide ribosomal RNA is filed under the name uncultured bacterium. Its description in RNAcentral is "partial 16S ribosomal RNA". It matches the Rfam family "Bacterial small subunit ribosomal RNA", at positions 28 to 506 of the family's 1533-position model. The record is from RNAcentral.